UACGAGUGCCCCAAGCGUUAUCCGGAAUUAUUGGGCGUAAAGGGCGAGUAGGCGGUUAUAUUAGUCUUGUGUUAAAGCCUUCGGCUCAACCGAAGAAAUGCAUAGGAAACGGUAUAACUAGAGUGUGUGAGAGGUACGUAGAACUCAUGGAGUAGGGGUGAAAUCCGUUGAUACCAUGGGGAAUACCAAAAGCGUAGGCAGCGUACUGGCACAUUACUGACGCUGAAUCGCGAAAGCGUGGGUAGCGAAUGGG
RNAcentral lists this ribosomal RNA (253 nucleotides) under uncultured bacterium. RNAcentral's name for it is "partial 16S ribosomal RNA". It matches the Rfam family "Bacterial small subunit ribosomal RNA", at positions 524 to 776 of the family's 1533-position model. The record is from RNAcentral.